Molecule: ribosomal RNA, 625 nt
Filed under: uncultured bacterium
Lineage: Bacteria
Description: bacterial SSU rRNA
Rfam family: Bacterial small subunit ribosomal RNA
Source: RNAcentral
ACCAAGGCGACGAUCAGUAGCUGGUCUGAGAGGACGAUCAGCCACACUGGAACUGAGACACGGUCCAGACUCCUACGGGAGGCAGCAGUGAGGAAUAUUGGUCAAUGGGGGAAACCCUGAACCAGCGACGCCGCGUGUGGGACGAAGGGGCUUUGCCCUGUAAACCACUGUCGGAUGGGAAGAAAAGUCCCCCUUGGGGACUGGGACUGUACCAUUAAAGGAAGGGUCGGCUAACUACGUGCCAGCAGCCGCGGUAAUACGUAGGACCCGAGCGUUGUCCGGAAUUACUGGGUGUAAAGGGUGCGCAGGCGGGCUUGUGCGUCAGAGGUUAAAUCCCACAGCUUAACUGUGGAACUGCCUUUGAUACGGCAAGUCUUGAAUGCGAGCGAGGAAGGUAGAAUUCCUGGUGUAGCGGUGAAAUGCGUAGAUAUCAGGAGGAAUACCAGUGGCGAAGGCGGCCUUCUGGCUCGUUAUUGACGCUCAGGCACGAAAGCGUGGGGAGCAAACAGGAUUAGAUACCCUGGUAGUCCACGCCUUAAACGAUGUAUGCUUGGUGUUGGGAGUUUUUCUCAGUGCCGUAGGUAACCCGUUAAGCAUACCACCUGGGGAGUACGAUCGCAAGGUG